RNAcentral lists this ribosomal RNA (306 nucleotides) under Trichoderma citrinoviride. RNAcentral's name for it is "eukaryotic LSU rRNA". The stretch from base 191 to 306 matches the Rfam family "Eukaryotic large subunit ribosomal RNA", at positions 1 to 116 of the family's 3401-position model. Lineage: Eukaryota; Fungi; Ascomycota; Sordariomycetes; Hypocreales; Hypocreaceae. The record is from RNAcentral.
GCCUGUCCGAGCGCAUUUCAACCCUCGAACCCCUCCGGGGGGUCGGCGUUGGGGAUCGGCCCCUCACCGGGCCGCCCCCGAAAUCCAGUGGCGGUCUCGCCGCAUCCUCCUCUCCUGCGCAGUAGUUUGCACACUCGCACCGGGAGCGCGGCGCGGCCACAGCCGUAAAACACCCCAAACUCUAAAAUGUUGACCUCGGAUCAGGUAGGAAUACCCGCUGAACUUAAGCAUAUCAAUAAGCGGAGGAAAAGCAACCAACUGGGAUUGCUCCAAUAACGGCGACUGAAGCGUCAAAACCUCAAAUUU